ACAGAGCCACCAAGCAGUGCUGCAUACGGGGUCCACCUGUGUGCACCAGGAUGCCUGACACCAUGCUGCCCGCCUGCUUCCUCGGCCUACUGGCCUUCUCCUCCGCGUGCUACUUCCAGAACUGCCCGAGGGGCGGCAAGAGGGCCAUGUCCGACCUGGAGCUGAGACAUGCCUCCCCUGCGGCCCCGGGGGCAAAGGCCGCUGCUUCGGGCCCAGCAUCUGCUGCGCGGACGAGCUGGGCUGCUUCGUGGGCACGGCUGAGGCGCUGCGCUGCCAGGAGGAGAACUACCUGCCGUCGCCCUGCCAGUCCGGCCAGAAGGCGUGCGGGAGCGGGGGCCGCUGCGCCGCCUUCGGCGUUUGCUGCAACGACAGAGCUGCGUGACCGAGCCCGAGUGCCGCGAGGGCUUUCACCGCCGCGCCCGCGCCAGCGACCGGAGCAACGCCACGCAGCUGGACGGGCCGGCCGGGGCCUUGCUGCUGCGGCUGGUGCAGCUGGCCGGGGCGCCCGAGCCCUUCGAGCCCGCCCAGCCCGACGCCUACUGAGCCCCGCGCUCGCCCCACCGGCGCGCUCUUCGCGCCCGCCCCUGCAGCACGGACAAUAAACCUCCGCCAAUGCACGGCCUCGCGUCU
RNAcentral lists this long non-coding RNA (630 nucleotides) under Homo sapiens (human). RNAcentral's name for it is "non-protein coding lnc-AVP-1:1". The record is from RNAcentral. Lineage: Eukaryota; Metazoa; Chordata; Mammalia; Primates; Hominidae.